CUUUUACUACGAAGCCACGCUGUUGUAACAUGUGCAGAGUGUGUCUUGGCAUCAUCUUACUGAAAUAAGCAGAGACGUCCCUGAAAAAGAUGUUUGGAUGGCAGCACAUGUUACUCCAAAACCUAUAGUCUGUCCCUUCAUGGAUACAGAUGGAUUUGUGUCAGAACCACCACUGAAGGAAAAUCUAAAGGAAUGAGAGAGAAAAGGUACCAGACGUUUUUUAUCCAGGAGAACAAACGUCGUAUACAGCUUAAUCUCUGUGCUGAUAAAGAUGGAUGACCUCUCCUUACCCUGAGCUGACAUGAGUUUUGGUUGUGCGAAGUCGGCACGGUGACGGGUGUUGGACUCCUGGUUCUGUGGAGAACGGC
Long non-coding RNA from Girardinichthys multiradiatus, 368 nucleotides. RefSeq lists it as uncharacterized. NCBI's taxonomy places the organism in Eukaryota, Metazoa, Chordata, Actinopteri, Cyprinodontiformes, Goodeidae. The transcript is spliced from 4 exons. The record is from RefSeq and is a predicted model, not a curated record.